GACGAACGCUGGCGGCGUGCUUAACACAUGCAAGUCGAACGGAAAGGCCCUGCUUUUGUGGGGUGCUCGAGUGGCGAACGGGUGAGUAACACGUGAGUAACCUGCCCUUGACUUUGGGAUAACUUCAGGAAACUGGGGCUAAUACCGGAUAGGAGCUCCUGCUGCAUGGUGGGGGUUGGAAAGUUUCGGCGGUUGGGGAUGGACUGGCGGCUUAUCAGCUUGUUGGUGGGGUAGUGGCUUACCAAGGCUUUGACGGGUAGCCGGCCUGAGAGGGUGACCGGCCACAUUGGGACUGAGGUACGGCCCAGUAUGCAACGGGAGGCAGCAGUGGGAAAUAUUGCGCAAUGGGCGGAAGCCUGAUGCAGCAACGCCGCGUGCGGGAUGACGGCCUUCGGGUUGUAAACCGCUUUCGCCUGUGACGAAGCGUGAGUGACGGUAAUGGGUAAAGAAGCACCGGCUAACUACGUG
Molecule: ribosomal RNA, 468 nt
Filed under: uncultured bacterium
Lineage: Bacteria
Description: partial 16S ribosomal RNA
Rfam family: Bacterial small subunit ribosomal RNA
Source: RNAcentral